RNAcentral lists this unclassified non-coding RNA (310 nucleotides) under Penaeus japonicus. Its description in RNAcentral is "mediator of RNA polymerase II transcription subunit 18-like, transcript variant X10". Lineage: Eukaryota; Metazoa; Arthropoda; Malacostraca; Decapoda; Penaeidae. The record is from RNAcentral.
ACAGUUAGGGCAAUUGGGCGUGGCUGUAAACAUGGCUUUAACAGUACCCAAUGCCAUGGAUACAAUUGAUUCUGCCCAGAAGAAUGCAAUUGUACAUGAUCAAGAGUUUUUACUGCAGGGAUCAGUAUUGGAUGCUUCACUAUUAGUGGUGAUUGAUAGACUAAGAGGACUGUGUGAUAAUGCUGAUAUCCAACCAGAAACAUUCCAUGAUCAUGAGAUUGUGUUUCUUCUGAAGGAUUUCUCUGGUAAUUUUCUUUUUUUUCCAAUAGUUAAUUUGAAGUUAUCCUGGAGUUUCAGUCUUUUCUUUUUU